Molecule: ribosomal RNA, 468 nt
Filed under: uncultured bacterium
Lineage: Bacteria
Description: partial 16S ribosomal RNA
Rfam family: Bacterial small subunit ribosomal RNA
Source: RNAcentral
GAUGAACGCUGGCGGCGUGCUUAAUACAUGCAAGUCGAACGGACAGGCGAAAAGUUUCUUGGUCACUCGAUUGCCGAACGGGUGAGUAACACGUGUGUGAUCUCCACUUCACUUCCUGAUAUGCCUGGGAAACUGGGGCUCUUAUCGGGGAUGACAUUGUUAUGGAUGUCGUUGUGUAAUGUUUGUGCGGUUUGGUAUCAGUUCUCGGUGUAUCAGCUUGUUGUUGGCGUGAUGGUCUAGCAAGGCGUAGACGGGUAGCCGGCCUGUGAGGGUGUACGGCCAGACUGGGACUGAGAGACGGCCCAGAGUAGUAAGGGAGGCAGAAGUGGGGAAUAUUGGACAAUGGGAGCAAGCCUGAGGCAGCGACGUCGCGUGGGGGAUGAAGGCCUUCGGGUUGUAAAAACCUUUCGCUAGGGAAGAAGCGUUUUUGUGACGGUACCUGGAGAAGAAGCACCGGCUAACUACGUG